UAGGGAAUCUUCGGCAAUGGACGAAAGUCUGACCGAGCAACGCCGCGUGAGUGAAGAAGGUUUUCGGAUCGUAAAACUCUGUUGUUAGAGAAGAACAAGGACGUUAGUAACUGAACGUCCCCUGACGGUAUCUAACCAGAAAGCCACGGCUAACUACGUGCCAGCAGCCGCGGUAAUACGUAGGUGGCAAGCGUUGUCCGGAUUUAUUGGGCGUAAAGCGAGCGCAGGCGGUUUCUUAAGUCUGAUGUGAAAGCCCCCGGCUCAACAGGGGAGGGUGAUUGGAAACUGGGAGAGUUGAGUGCAGAAGAGGAGAGUGGAAUUCCAAGUGUAGCGGUGAAAUGCGUAGAUAUAGGGAGGAACACCAGUGGCGAAGGCGGCUCUCUGGUCUGUAACUGACGCUGAGGCUCGAAAGCGAGGGGAGCAAACAGG
Molecule: ribosomal RNA, 429 nt
Filed under: Gemmatimonadota bacterium
Lineage: Bacteria; Pseudomonadati; Gemmatimonadota
Description: Gemmatimonadetes bacterium partial 16S ribosomal RNA
Rfam family: Bacterial small subunit ribosomal RNA
Source: RNAcentral